AAGCACAUUUCAUGUUCCUGCUCUGUGUUUGUGAGAGCUGAGAUUUCUGAUGUGCUAGAUUAAUCAUGGCGGUAAAUUAGCAGUGUGGCUGCACAGUGUCAUUACUGCCAGUCCCCUUCAGACAAUU
Acipenser ruthenus (sterlet) is the source of this 127-nucleotide small nucleolar RNA. The record is from RefSeq and is a predicted model, not a curated record. Lineage: Eukaryota; Metazoa; Chordata; Actinopteri; Acipenseriformes; Acipenseridae.